UGGUGCAUGGUUGUCGUCAGCUCGUGUCGUGAGAUGUUGGGUUAAGUCCCGCACGAGCGCAACCCCUAUUGUUAGUUGCCAUCAUUCAGUUGGGCACUCUAGCGAGACUGCCGGUAACAAACCGGAGGAAGGUGGGGAUGACGUCAAAUCAUCAUGCCCCUUAUGACCUGGGCUACACACGUGCUACAAUGGUUGGUACAACGAGUUGCGAGUCGGUGACGGCGAGCUAAUCUCUUAAAGCCAAUCUCAGUUCGGAUUGUAGGCUGCAACUCGCCUACAUGAAGUCGGAAUCGCUAGUAAUCGCGGAUCAGCACGCCGCGGUGAAUACGUUCCCGGGCCUU
This 341-nucleotide ribosomal RNA is filed under the name uncultured Streptococcus sp. RNAcentral's name for it is "bacterial SSU rRNA". It matches the Rfam family "Bacterial small subunit ribosomal RNA", at positions 1039 to 1382 of the family's 1533-position model. Lineage: Bacteria; Bacillati; Bacillota; Bacilli; Lactobacillales; Streptococcaceae. The record is from RNAcentral.